RNAcentral lists this ribosomal RNA (478 nucleotides) under uncultured bacterium. RNAcentral describes it as "partial 16S ribosomal RNA". It matches the Rfam family "Bacterial small subunit ribosomal RNA", at positions 28 to 523 of the family's 1533-position model. The record is from RNAcentral.
GACGAACGCUGGCGGCGUGCUUAACACAUGCAAGUCGAACGGUAAGGCCCUUCGGGGUACACGAGUGGCGAACGGGUGAGUAACACGUGGGUGAUCUGCCCUGCACUUCGGGAUAAGCCUGGGAAACUGGGUCUAAUACCGGAUAGGACCACUGCCUGCAUGGGUGGUGGUGGAAAGCUUUUGCGGUGUGGGAUGGGCCCGCGGCCUAUCAGCUUGUUGGUGGGGUGUUGGCCUACCAAGGCGACGACGGGUAGCCGGCCUGAGAGGGUGACCGGCCACACUGGGACUGAGAUACGGCCCAGACGCCUACGGGAGGCAGCAGUGGGGAAUAUUGCACAAUGGGCGCAAGCCGGAUGCAGCGACGCCGCGUGGGGGAUGACGGCCUUCGGGUUGUAAACCUCUCUCAGCACCGACGAAGCGCAAGUGACGGUAGGUGCAGAAGAAGGACCGGCCAACUACGUGCCAGCCGCCGCCGUAA